GGGCACGGGAGCGCGCCCAAGGUUCUUCCUCAGCGGUGUGCGGGAGGUCUGGGGCCAGUGCGGUGUACCUCGAGAGUUCCGGCAGAGCUGGCUCUCGUCCUCUGUACGGGUGUGGCCCCUUAGGAACCAGGGGCUUAUGAUCUUCUUCCAGACAAGAUGCAGUCUCAAGAAGCUACUUCCACAGUAGAAUAUGGCAUUUGGGAUGACCGGAGUCUGAGUUCCUGGACUACAGCCACUCAUGCUUGAC
Long non-coding RNA from Chionomys nivalis (European snow vole), 247 nucleotides. RefSeq lists it as uncharacterized. The transcript is spliced from 3 exons. The record is from RefSeq and is a predicted model, not a curated record. Lineage: Eukaryota; Metazoa; Chordata; Mammalia; Rodentia; Cricetidae.